Molecule: long non-coding RNA, 501 nt
Organism: Pseudophryne corroboree (corroboree frog)
Lineage: Eukaryota; Metazoa; Chordata; Amphibia; Anura; Myobatrachidae
Exons: 3
Source: RefSeq, a predicted model, not a curated record
AUAAUGGUAACAACUGCCUAUACAAGGACUUUGCUGUUGCUAUCCUGUCUCAUAGUCCUGCAGAGCCCUGGCAACACACAGCUCACCAGCAGUAGGCGAUAUCACCGGAAAAGCUAUUCACAUAAGUGGCAGUGGACCCUGAAGGAGGCUUUAGCAGGCAGCGCGUGGGUAAUACAGAUAGACAGGAUCUCGUGUUGCGGACAGAAGACAUCCGGCCACCGGAAGAAAAAGGAUACACUGACCGUUGGAAAGAAGUCACCAGAGAGAGAGCCGAAGACAGAAUGACAUCCACUGCACACACAGUGCUUCUCUAGGAAUGGAUUUUGUGGAGCCCGGGUGGGAGCCUAGACUCCGCGCCAUGACACUGCCAGAGACAACACUGUCUGCACUGAUGGACGGAAUCCUUCCUGCCUCUCACCCACGUGACACAUCCAUGGGAAAUGCUCUUCUAUCUUUAUUUAUAUUAUUUUCUCUUAUAUAAUAAAGUCUUACAGUACAGAA